RNAcentral lists this ribosomal RNA (274 nucleotides) under uncultured bacterium. RNAcentral's name for it is "partial 16S ribosomal RNA". It matches the Rfam family "Bacterial small subunit ribosomal RNA", at positions 523 to 796 of the family's 1533-position model. The record is from RNAcentral.
AUACGGAGGGUGCAAGCGUUAUCCGGAAUCAUUGGGUUUAAAGGGUCCGCAGGCGGUCAAUUAAGUCAGAGGUGAAAUCCCGUCGCUCAACGACGGAACUGCCUUUGAUACUGGUUGACUUGAGUUAUACGGAAGUAGAUAGAAUGUGUAGUGUAGCGGUGAAAUGCAUAGAUAUUACACAGAAUACCGAUUGCGAAGGCAGUCUACUACGUAUAUACUGACGCUCAUGGACGAAAGCGUGGGGAGCGAACAGGAUUAGAAACCCCAGUAGUCC